Molecule: transfer RNA, 66 nt
Filed under: Bostrychus sinensis (four-eyed sleeper)
Lineage: Eukaryota; Metazoa; Chordata; Actinopteri; Gobiiformes; Eleotridae
Description: tRNA-Cys
Source: RNAcentral
AGCCUUGAGGUGUUUUACAUAUAAGAUUGCAAAUCUUAAGUAGCAGAGUGACGUUUGCCGGGGCUU